GAUUAGGUUAGUGUUAUGAUAUGAGGGUAGGUUAGUGUUAUGAUAUGAGGGUAGGUUAGUGGUAGACAUGUCUGUAUGUAGUGUUAUGAUAUGAGGAUAGGUUAGUGUUAUGAUUUUAAGGGUAGGUUAGUGGUAGACAUGUCUGUAUGUAGUGUUAUGAUAUGUCUGUAUGUAGUGUUAUGAUAUGAGGGUAGGUUAGUGUUGUGAUAUGAGGGUAGGUUAGUGUUAUGAUAUGAGGGUAGGUUAGUGUUAUGAUAUGAGGGUAGGUUAGUGUUAUGAUAUGAGGGCAGAU
Molecule: long non-coding RNA, 292 nt
Organism: Oncorhynchus tshawytscha (Chinook salmon)
Lineage: Eukaryota; Metazoa; Chordata; Actinopteri; Salmoniformes; Salmonidae
Source: Ensembl